RNAcentral lists this ribosomal RNA (315 nucleotides) under uncultured Glomus. RNAcentral's name for it is "SSU rRNA". It matches the Rfam family "Eukaryotic small subunit ribosomal RNA", at positions 569 to 889 of the family's 1831-position model. The record is from RNAcentral. Lineage: Eukaryota; Fungi; Glomeromycota; Glomeromycetes; Glomerales; Glomeraceae.
AGCAGCCGCGGUAAUUCCAGCUCCAAUAGCGUAUAUUAAAGUUGUUGCAGUUAAAAAGCUCGUAGUUGAAUUUCGGGAUCAAUAUGUCGGUCGUGCCUUCGGUACGUACUGGUAUCAUUGGUCUCUCCUUUCUGACGAACCAUGAUGUCAUUAAUUUGGUGUUAUGGGGAGUUAGGACUGUUACUUUGAAAAAUUAGAGUGUUUAAAGCAAGCUAACGCUUGAAUACAUUAGCAUGGAAUAAUGAAAUAGGACGUUCGAUCCUAUUUUGUUGGUUUCUAGGAUUGACGUAAUGAUUAAUAGGGAUAGUUGGGGGC